This 617-nucleotide ribosomal RNA is filed under the name uncultured bacterium. RNAcentral describes it as "bacterial SSU rRNA". It matches the Rfam family "Bacterial small subunit ribosomal RNA", at positions 202 to 817 of the family's 1533-position model. The record is from RNAcentral.
CAAAGGAGUGAUCCGGCAGAGGAUGGACAUGCGGCGCAUUAGCUAGUCGGCGGGGUAACGGCCCACCGAGGCUACGAUGCGUAGGGGUUCUGAGAGGAAGGUCCCCCACACUGGUACUGAGACACGGACCAGACUCCUACGGGAGGCAGCAGUGAGGAAUAUUGGUCAAUGGGCGGAAGCCUGAACCAGCCAAGUCGCGUGAGGGAAGACGGUCCUAUGGAUUGUAAACCUCUUUUGCAGGGGAGCAAGGCGCGGUACGUGUACCGCGAAGGAGAGUACCCUGAGAAAAAGCAUCGGCUAACUCCGUGCCAGCAGCCGCGGUAAUACGGAGGAUGCGAGCGUUAUCCGGAUUUAUUGGGUUUAAAGGGUGCGCAGGCGGACUGUUAAGUCAGCGGUAAAAUGUCGGUGCUCAACACCGGCCGGCCGUUGAAACUGGCAGCCUUGAGUGAGCGAGAAGUAUGCGGAAUGCGUGGUGUAGCGGUGAAAUGCAUAGAUAUCACGCAGAACUCCGAUUGCGAAGGCAGCAUACCGGCGCUCAACUGACGCUCAGGCACGAAAGCGUGGGUAUCGAACAGGAUUAGAUACCCUGGUAGUCCACGCAGUAAACGAUGAAUGCU